Sporisorium reilianum f. sp. reilianum is the source of this 109-nucleotide non-coding RNA. NCBI's taxonomy places the organism in Eukaryota, Fungi, Basidiomycota, Ustilaginomycetes, Ustilaginales, Ustilaginaceae. The record is from the annotation of a GenBank genome assembly.
GGUUGUAUGGAGUAGUUGGUUAACUUAGGAGAUUCUGACGCAGCGAGCAUUCGAGCUCAGCGAUCUGUUCUGAUUUCUCUUGCCCUGGGUUCGAAUCCCAGUACGACCU